ACUAGAAAGCUAUUAGUUAUACUAGUAGAGAAUUUAAAGGAGAAUUCUCUUGGGGUGUACUUUAACUUUUGGGCAUGUGUGAAAGUUAAAUAUUUUGUAGUGUGGUUGUAAUAAUUUUCCACAUAGUAAAUAUUUAUUCUCUUGGUUGUUUUUUACAACGCUUGUGGUUUUUUUCCAUUUGGGAGUUUUCCACGUUAAAUUAUUGUGUUUUUCUCUCUUUUAUUUUUCAAGUAUUUUUGUUAUUGUUGUGAUCUAAAGGGAUUGUUGGAUUACAAGAGGUCUAUUUUCCUAACAAUUUUUGGGGCAUACUUGAAGGCUUACGUAGUGCGGUCUUCCGGUUUAGUGGUUACAAUGUCAAACUGACUGUGGGAAAGCAUUCAAACUUGUUACGUCGCCUAUUGCUCAUUUGAGCCCUCUCGCUCUUGUCCGAGCUAUAUCUCAAUUUACUUCCAAGGUAUGGUUCGUUGAAUUUAUCUUGAUUCGUCACGGAGUAAACUUCCCUGCUGAUUUUUUGGCAAAGGUGCCUCCCUCCAUCAAUGGAGAUUUUGUUAAGCAGUUAGUUUGUUUGUGGAACUUCAAUUACUUAACGGCACAGCGGAGAUUUUGGCACCGAAUUGUGCCCCCAAUUGUGGAACACUUUCCCUCAUCGCUUCAAGUUCGCCGUUUUCACUUGGCAUGGUGCUACAAUUGAGAUUGAUGGUGAUACUGAAACCGAUUAUACAGCUGAUGAGACACCUAUGAACAGUUACGUGAAUUUACAUGCUGUACUAGAAGUAAGAAGAAACCGUGCUAAAGCUUCGUUUCCGGAUGAUUCCGAGGCAUCCCAGGUAUUCUUAUCGACCAAGAGUGAUUAUUGUGGGGCCUCCAGAUUCUGGGAAGAGCAGCUUAUCGAGGAUGCUUCUUAGUUGGGCAGCUAAACUAGGUUGGAAACCUACCUUUGUGGAUUUAGACAUAAGUCAAGGGGAUACAUUGAACUAGCUAAAUUUGUACCAGUUGUUUUACAGGGGAUACAUGAAC
This is a long non-coding RNA of Hibiscus syriacus, 1017 nucleotides long. RefSeq lists it as uncharacterized. NCBI's taxonomy places the organism in Eukaryota, Viridiplantae, Streptophyta, Magnoliopsida, Malvales, Malvaceae. The record is from RefSeq and is a predicted model, not a curated record. The transcript is spliced from 3 exons.